RNAcentral lists this ribosomal RNA (678 nucleotides) under Enterobacter hormaechei subsp. xiangfangensis. RNAcentral describes it as "bacterial SSU rRNA". It matches the Rfam family "Bacterial small subunit ribosomal RNA", at positions 87 to 761 of the family's 1533-position model. Lineage: Bacteria; Pseudomonadati; Pseudomonadota; Gammaproteobacteria; Enterobacterales; Enterobacteriaceae. The record is from RNAcentral.
GCUGACGAGUGGCGGACGGGUGAGUAAUGUCUGGGAAACUGCCUGAUGGAGGGGGAUAACUACUGGAAACGGUAGCUAAUACCGCAUAAUGUCGCAAGACCAAAGAGGGGGACCUUCGGGCCUCUUGCCAUCGGAUGUGCCCAGAUGGGAUUAGCUAGUAGGUGGGGUAACGGCUCACCUAGGCGACGAUCCCUAGCUGGUCUGAGAGGAUGACCAGCCACACUGGAACUGAGACACGGUCCAGACUCCUACGGGAGGCAGCAGUGGGGAAUAUUGCACAAUGGGCGCAAGCCUGAUGCAGCCAUGCCGCGUGUAUGAAGAAGGCCUUCGGGUUGUAAAGUACUUUCAGCGGGGAGGAAGGCGAUGAGGUUAAUAACCUUGUCGAUUGACGUUACCCGCAGAAGAAGCACCGGCUAACUCCGUGCCAGCAGCCGCGGUAAUACGGAGGGUGCAAGCGUUAAUCGGAAUUACUGGGCGUAAAGCGCACGCAGGCGGUCUGUCAAGUCGGAUGUGAAAUCCCCGGGCUCAACCUGGGAACUGCAUUCGAAACUGGCAGGCUAGAGUCUUGUAGAGGGGGGUAGAAUUCCAGGUGUAGCGGUGAAAUGCGUAGAGAUCUGGAGGAAUACCGGUGGCGAAGGCGGCCCCCUGCACAAAGACUGACGCUCAGGUGCGAAAGCG